This 451-nucleotide ribosomal RNA is filed under the name uncultured bacterium. Its description in RNAcentral is "partial 16S ribosomal RNA". It matches the Rfam family "Bacterial small subunit ribosomal RNA", at positions 354 to 796 of the family's 1533-position model. The record is from RNAcentral.
GUGGGGAAUCUUCCGCAAUGGACGAAAGUCUGACGGAGCAACGCCGCGUGAGUGAUGAAGGUCUUCGGAUUGUAAAGCUCUGUUAAUCGGGACGAAAGAGCCUAGUGUGAAUAAUGCUAGGAAGUGACGGUACCGGAAUAGAAAGCCACGGCUAACUACGUGCCAGCAGCCGCGGUAAUACGUAGGUGGCAAGCGUUGUCCGGAAUUAUUGGGCGUAAAGCGCGCGCAGGCGGAUCUGCCAGUCUGUCUUAAAAGUUCGGGGCUUAACCCCGUGAUGGGAUGGAAACUACAGAUCUAGAGUAUCGGAGAGGAAGGUGGAAUUCCUAGUGUAGCGGUGAAAUGCGUAGAUAUUAGGAAGAACACCAGUGGCGAAGGCGACUUUCUGGACGAAAACUGACGCUGAGGCGCGAAAGCCAGGGGAGCGAACGGGAUUAGAUACCCCUUGUAGUCC